CCAUUGAAAAAUAGCCAUUUUUCUUCGCACUACGAAUGCGAAGGUUGAGGGUUCGAGUCCCCCAUGGCGCACCA
This 74-nucleotide transfer RNA is filed under the name Caudoviricetes sp. RNAcentral's name for it is "tRNA-Arg". It matches the Rfam family "tRNA". Rfam says of the family: Transfer RNA (tRNA) molecules are approximately 80 nucleotides in length. Their secondary structure includes four short double-helical elements and three loops (D, anti-codon, and T loops). The record is from RNAcentral. Lineage: Duplodnaviria; Heunggongvirae; Uroviricota; Caudoviricetes.